This 414-nucleotide transfer-messenger RNA is filed under the name Candidatus Omnitrophota bacterium. Its description in RNAcentral is "partial transfer-messenger RNA". It matches the Rfam family "transfer-messenger RNA". Rfam says of the family: Bacterial tmRNA, also known as 10Sa RNA or SsrA, is named for its dual tRNA and mRNA-like properties. The record is from RNAcentral. Lineage: Bacteria; Pseudomonadati; Candidatus Omnitrophota.
UUUAAGUAAAUCAGAUAAAAGUUGCAUGCCGAGGUUGCAAGGAGGCCUCGUAAAACACCUUGCAAACAAUAAGUGCCGAAGACGCACGUCUAAUUGCAGAGGCAAAUAGGAUUGUGGCACCUAUUUUUGGUGCACCUUCCUUUGUCCCUGCAAUGGCACACUAAGUCCUUUCUCCCGGUUUGGAGAAAGGCCUUAAGACUUAAGGUUGCCUAAGGCCUGAGUCUUAAGUCAACUUACUUAGGCCUGCUAAAAGGUUAGGUCUUUACCUUUUAGCAUGUUUUUAAAAAAGACCUCGGUUUAGGUAAUCUCGGUUCCUGAGGAGUACCUAAACUUAAAUAAAAAUCAGGACUAAGCAUGUAGGAACUUUUAUCCGGUUACUUAAGGACGCCGGUUCGAUUCUGGCCACCUCCACCA